ACAGCAGUCGCCGCGGUAAUACGUAGGUGGCAAGCGUUGUCCGGAAUUAUUGGGCGUAAGGGCUCGCAGGCGGCUUCUCAAGUCUGAUGUGAAAGCCCCCGGCUCAACCGGGGAGGGUCAUUGGAAACUGGGAAACUUGAGUGCAGAAGAGGAGAGUGGAAUUCCACGUGUAGCGGUGAAAUGCGUAGAGAUGUGGAGGAACACCAGUGGUGAAGGCGACUCUCUGGUCUGUAACUGACGCUGAGGAGCGAAAGCGUGGGGAGCGAACAGGAUUAGAUACCCCCGUAGUCCCUGUCUCUUAUACA
RNAcentral lists this ribosomal RNA (305 nucleotides) under uncultured bacterium. RNAcentral's name for it is "partial 16S ribosomal RNA". It matches the Rfam family "Bacterial small subunit ribosomal RNA", at positions 508 to 808 of the family's 1533-position model. The record is from RNAcentral.